GGACCUACGGGGCGCAGCAGUGAGGAAUAUUGGUCAAUGGCCGAGAGGCUGAACCAGCCAAGUCGCGUGAGGGAAGAAUGUCCUAUGGAUUGUAAACCUCUUUUGUCAGGGAGCAAAGUCACCCACGUGUGGGUGUUGGAGAGUACCUGAAGAAAAAGCAUCGGCUAACUCCGUGCCAGCAGCCGCGGUAAUACGGAGGAUGCGAGCGUUAUCCGGAUUUAUUGGGUUUAAAGGGUGCGCAGGCGGCGUGUCAAGCAAGCGGUAAAAUAGCGGGGCUCAACCCCGUCGAGCCGGUUGAACUGGCG
Molecule: ribosomal RNA, 305 nt
Filed under: uncultured bacterium
Lineage: Bacteria
Description: bacterial SSU rRNA
Rfam family: Bacterial small subunit ribosomal RNA
Source: RNAcentral